RNAcentral lists this ribosomal RNA (193 nucleotides) under uncultured Enterobacter sp. RNAcentral describes it as "partial 16S ribosomal RNA". It matches the Rfam family "Bacterial small subunit ribosomal RNA", at positions 340 to 525 of the family's 1533-position model. Lineage: Bacteria; Pseudomonadati; Pseudomonadota; Gammaproteobacteria; Enterobacterales; Enterobacteriaceae. The record is from RNAcentral.
UACGGGAGGCAGCAGUGGGGAAUAUUGCACAAUGGGCGCAAGCCUGAUGCAGCCAUGCCGCGUGUGUGAAGAAGGCCUUCGGGUUGUAAAGUACUUUCAGCGGGGAGGAAGGCGGUGAGGUUAAUAACCUCAUCGAUUGACGUUACCCGCAGAAGAAGCACCGGCUAACUCCGUGCCAGCAGCCGCGGUAAUA